Molecule: ribosomal RNA, 375 nt
Filed under: uncultured bacterium
Lineage: Bacteria
Also listed under: 1 other name
Description: bacterial SSU rRNA
Rfam family: Bacterial small subunit ribosomal RNA
Source: RNAcentral
UACGUAGGGGGCGAGCGUUACCCGGAAUCACUGGGCGUAAAGGGAGCGUAGGUGGCCUAACAUGUCAACUGUGAAAACCCGGAGCUCAACUCCGGACUUGCAGUUGAAACUGGUAGGCUUGAGGACGGUAGAGGAAGACGGAACUGCCAGUGUAGGGGUAAAAUCCUUAGAUAUUGGCAGGAACGCCGGUGACGAAGGUGGUUUUCUGGGCCGGUUCUGACACUGAUGCUCGAAAGCCAGGGGAGCGAACGGGAUUAGAUACCCCGGUAGUCCUGGCCCUAAACGAUGUUCACUAGGUGUGGGGAGCGGAAAGCUCUCCGUGCUAAAGCUAACGCGAUAAGUGAACCGCCUGGGGAGUACGCCCGCAAGGGUGAA